AAAUAACUUUUAGAUUUUCCUCUGUAAUUUUCGGCAUUGGGCCUUGAGGAUUUCACUUCAUUUUCCAUUGUCCAAAUCUCCAUUUACACGAAAAAUGGACUCCAAAAUAAGCCCACACUAAAUUACCAAACCUAUCCACUGCUACUACACCCUCGCCGUAGCUCUCUCCGGCGAAUACAUCGCGCUCACCUCGCCGUUGAUCUCUCCGGCGAAGAUUUUGCCUAGUGAGUUCCUCCGUUUCUUCCCUCUUUCACUAUAUACCUCUCUCCAUUUCCUUCUUUUUUUAACUCCUGGUUUAAAAACCCUAAACCCUUUUUACUUCUUGCUGCCAUCCAUCGUAGCACUAGCUGAAGGCCCUUCUUACCGGAGUUCCGAGUACUGUGUUGCUGGUUCCUUCACGUUUCUGUAACUGGUACACCAGCUAUUUUUUUUCCUGUUUAUCUCUUAUAUUUGUGUAGCACUAUAUUCAAAGAAUUUAGGUCGGCAUAGCUUUUUAAUUCAAAUUUUAGUUUGUCAUUGUUAUGCGAUAUGAUUGAUUCCAGGGUUUCUUUCAGGAUUUUCUUUAAGUGGUUCUCAGUUUCUUUAUGGGAAGUUCAUAUUAAAAAUUAGAAAUUUAUAUUGAAAAUCCGUGUCUUCUCAUUAAUAUUAUCCAGAGAUUGCAUUACAGUACAGUAUGUGUGUUGUUGAAAUGAUUUUUUUGGGUGCUUUCUUAAUUCUUGGAGCUCCCUCAAUUAGAUAUGGAAUGCAAGCUCUCUUGUUAGGUUUUUUGCAUAUUGAGAUUUGAGCCAGUUGGUGUUUGAAGAAAAUCAAAGGUUAUUGUGUUUGCACGUGUGCCCAUGAAUGUAAUUAUUGAUUAUUUUUGAUAGAUUUACCUGUUUGUGUUUAGGUGGUUGUUAACUUCUUCAAAUAUGUAUUGAAUAUCUAUAUCAGAUACUUGGUCCGAUUAUUAUUGUAUAUUAACUCGAGGCCAUUGUCCUAGAACUCUGAAUUUUGAAUCCAUAAAUUUGAAAUCUUGGAUCCGCAACUAUGAUGGCGAGUGGUGAUCCUCAUCAGCACCAGCACCAGCACCCACCGCUGCCACAGCAACAAUUCCAGCAACAACACCAGCAACAACCCCAGCAACAACACCAGCAACAACACCAGCAACAACACCAGCAACAACACCAGCAACAACACCAGCAACAACACCAGCAACAACACCAGCAACAACACCAGCAACAACACCAGCAACAACACCAGCAACAACACCAGC
This 1252-nucleotide long non-coding RNA is filed under the name Solanum tuberosum (potato). Its description in RNAcentral is "long non-coding RNA (STUB_LNC008309)". The record is from RNAcentral. Lineage: Eukaryota; Viridiplantae; Streptophyta; Magnoliopsida; Solanales; Solanaceae.